AAAUUGAAGAGUUUGAUCAUGGCUCAGAUUGAACGCUGGCGGCAGGCCUAACACAUGCAAGUCGAACGGUAACAGGAAGCAGCUUGCUGCUUCGCUGACGAGUGGCGGACGGGUGAGUAAUGUCUGGGAAACUGCCUGAUGGAGGGGGAUAACUACUGGAAACGGUGGCUAAUACCGCAUAACGUCGCAAGACCAAAGAGGGGGACCUUAGGGCCUC
Molecule: ribosomal RNA, 217 nt
Filed under: Salmonella sp. 32040203-2019-00004
Lineage: Bacteria; Pseudomonadati; Pseudomonadota; Gammaproteobacteria; Enterobacterales; Enterobacteriaceae
Description: partial 16S ribosomal RNA
Rfam family: Bacterial small subunit ribosomal RNA
Source: RNAcentral